RNAcentral lists this ribosomal RNA (460 nucleotides) under uncultured bacterium. RNAcentral's name for it is "partial 16S ribosomal RNA". It matches the Rfam family "Bacterial small subunit ribosomal RNA", at positions 338 to 795 of the family's 1533-position model. The record is from RNAcentral.
CCUACGGGUGGCAGCAGUGAGGAAUAUUGGUCAAUGGACGAGAGUCUGAACCAGCCAAGUAGCGUGAAGGAUGACUGCCCUAUGGGUUGUAAACUUCUUUUAUAUGAGAAUAAAAUGUUCCACGUGUGGGAUUUUGUAUGUACCAUAUGAAUAAGGAUCGGCUAACUCCGUGCCAGCAGCCGCGGUAAUACGGAGGAUCCGAGCGUUAUCCGGAUUUAUUGGGUUUAAAGGGAGCGUAGGUGGAUUUUUAAGUCAGUUGUGAAAGUUUGCGGCUCAACCGUAAAAUUGCAGUUGAAACUGGCAGUCUUGAGUACAGUAGAGGUGGGCGGAAUUCGUGGUGUAGCGGUGAAAUGCUUAGAUAUCACGAAGAACUCCGAUUGCGAAGGCAGUUCACUGGACUGCAACUGACACUGAGGCUCGAAAGUGUGGGUAUCAAACAGGAUUAGAUACCCCAGUAGUC